AAAAAUCUGCUCUGUAUGUUAAUUGGCUGACACUGCCUUUUCCUUACAAACCUAUUAGAUACUUGCUGUAAAGAAAUCAGCCUGCCAGUUUGGUUUCAACCCAUAACUUUUGACUCUGACCAGAACUGGGCAUAAACCAAUGAAGAUAAUUUUCGUAUUGUUUGAACUGAGAAAACUGUUGAGCCCUUCCUUCCUCUCACACUGUGGUAAAGACAAGGAGAACUGAGCCCCCGGGCAGCCCAUAAAUUGACAAAUGUGGCUCCCCAACUAGCCACAAGAGAUGCUGUCUUGCACCCAUCCAGGGAACAAUGUGCAGAAUUUGCACCAGAGACAAUAUGGGUUUGAACAGGGGAUACUGUAGAGGAGCUGCUGAUUGCAGAGGGAGGGCAGUGAGUUGGGGCAGCCAUGCCCUGUCUGGGAGUGGAAUUCCUUCUCCUUGAUCAAUGGCCUGGUCUGAGAGGUACAGGGAUGGUACAGACUGGAGAGCACUGGAACUGCACCACUGGGAGUAUUCUAAGAUUACCUCAACUACUGAUCACCUCGCUAAGUGGUUGCUUCACCCAACUGUGGCCAGAAUGGGAAGUGUUGUGACUGAAGUCAAUUAUCUUGAAGUCCUUGGGAAGGGAGAGGUACAAAGGCUACACCUCAGUGAGCUGUCAGUGGUCUCAGGAUCAGAUGCCAACUGCAGUGCAUUGGUGAGGUUGUACCUUGGAGCUGAAUUCUUCAGAGCCUGGCACCUGGACAGAUGCAGGAGCAUUUCUCCUGGGAACAAAAUGAAGUUGCUGGGAAACAGCUGACAUAUAAACCCACAAGGAAGAACAGAACACAAGAGGGUAAAGCACUGAUGCCUACAGCAAAUAAUUCACUCAAUAGGUGUGAGUUGUCCUCACCGCUUCCACCUGUUAAGAAAUGUCUGCAAAUGAUGUCGUGGGAAGGGCAGAAACACCUGGAAUUUACCACAGUAACAUCCUCAGAAACUCACCUUCUCCAUCUGAAAGAAUAAGAGCUCACAACAGGUUUAUUUACAGCCCAUGUCUCUUGGGCCUCAAUAGUUCACUGCUCUUGAAUGUAAGGAAGAGAUGCAAGUAUGUACAAGACAGUUUUGACCUCAG
RNAcentral lists this long non-coding RNA (1112 nucleotides) under Gallus gallus (chicken). RNAcentral's name for it is "lncRNA (ENSGALG00010015864.1)". Lineage: Eukaryota; Metazoa; Chordata; Aves; Galliformes; Phasianidae. The record is from RNAcentral.